RNAcentral lists this ribosomal RNA (225 nucleotides) under uncultured bacterium. RNAcentral's name for it is "partial 16S ribosomal RNA". It matches the Rfam family "Bacterial small subunit ribosomal RNA", at positions 123 to 334 of the family's 1533-position model. The record is from RNAcentral.
AAUCUACCCUUGCAUCUGGAAUAACUACGGGAAGCUGUAGCUAAUACCGGAUACGUUCUCCAUUCUACGGGAUGGAGAAGAAAGAUGACCUCUUCUUGAAAGUCAUCGUGCAGGGAGGAGCUUGCGUACCAUUAGCUAGUUGGUAGGGUAAUGGCCUACCAAGGCAACGAUGGUUAGCGGGUCUGAGAGGAUGAUCCGCCACACUGGAACUGGAACACGGACCAG